AGGGUGCGUAGGCGGCUUUUUAAGUCAGUGGUGAAAUCCUGCCGCUUAACGGUAGAAUUGCCAUUGAUACUGAAGAGCUUGAGUUCAGUUGAGGUAAGCGGAAUGUGUAGUGUAGCGGUGAAAUGCUUAGAUAUUACACAGAACACCAAUUGCGAAGGCAGCUUACUAAACUGACACUGACGCUGAUGCACGAAAGCGUGGGGAGCGAACAGGAUUAGAUACCCUGGUAGUCCACGCCGUAAACGAUGUUCACUCGCUGUUUGCGAUACACAGCAAGCGGCCAAGCGAAAGCAUUAAGUGAACCACCUGGGGAGUACGAUCGCAAGGUUGAAACUCAAAGGAAUUGACGGGGGCCCGCACAAGCGGAGGAACAUGUGGUUUAAUUCGAUGAUACGCGAGGAACCUUACCUGGGCUUAAAUGUAGAACGACAGAUUGUGAAAGCAGUCCUUCUUCGGACGUUUUACAAGGUGCUGCAUGGUUGUCGUCAGCUCGUGCCGUGAGGUGUCGGGUUAAGUCCCAUAACGAGCGCAACCCUUAUCGUUAGUUGCCAGCGGGUCAAGCCGGGGACUCUAGCGAGACUGCCACCGUAAGGUGUGAGGAAGGUGGGGAUGACGUCAAAUCAGCACGGCCCUUAUGUCCAGGGCUACACACGUGUUACAAUGGCCGGUACAAAGGGCAGCUACUUCGCGAGAAGAUGCUAAUCUCGAAAGCCGGUCUCAGUUCGGAUCGAAGUCUGCAACCCGACUUCGUGAAGCUGGAUUCGCUAGUAAUCGCAUAUCAGCCAUGAUGCGGUGAAUACGUUCCCGGGCCUUGUACACACCGCCCGUCAAACAAUGGAAGCUGGGGGUACCUGAAGUCUGUAACCGAAAGGA
RNAcentral lists this ribosomal RNA (873 nucleotides) under uncultured bacterium. RNAcentral describes it as "bacterial SSU rRNA". It matches the Rfam family "Bacterial small subunit ribosomal RNA", at positions 564 to 1451 of the family's 1533-position model. The record is from RNAcentral.